Dendroctonus ponderosae (mountain pine beetle) is the source of this 848-nucleotide long non-coding RNA. RefSeq lists it as uncharacterized. The record is from RefSeq and is a predicted model, not a curated record. The transcript has 2 exons. NCBI's taxonomy places the organism in Eukaryota, Metazoa, Arthropoda, Insecta, Coleoptera, Curculionidae.
UAGGAGUGUCUUAGCAACGAUUCUACAUUGAAAUCAUAACGUAAUUAUUAGCAGUUUUCUUUAUUUUCGACGAAAAUGUCUUGGUAACCUCAAACUUGAUGUGAACGGAUAGCAGGUUUCGUAUUACUAACUGUGUUAAAACCUGUUAUUUGUAUUUAAAUGUUAUAGAAUAAUGGUUAUGUGUUGGGCUCCUGAAUAUACAAAUUAUAAUGAUCGUGAAAAUGUUCGUUUUUUCGUUUUCCAAAAGACCCACCCACACGAAAUCGAUGGGCAAAGUCGGUGAACUCUAUAGAUCCUGGUCCUGGUGCCUUUGUAUGCAGUUGUCAUUUUCUUGAUGGAAAUAAUUAAAAUGGCCCUAUACAGCUCUUGGUCAUAAGGUACUGUAGUAAUACAGUACUUAUCGCAAAAUAGUUAAGGCAACGGAGUCCCGAAAAAUUAGCAGAACGAAAAUAUCUGUCGGAGCUGAAAUACCAAGCUACCACUUGAGUACAAAAUAACUACAAAUUCCUGUAAUUUAUAUAUAAUCACAUGCAUAUAAACAUAAUUUUACAGACCUGAAACUGAGCCACAACUUUCGACUUCGACGGAAGGUAUUCCUGAAACCUUUAAGUCUAUAGCACGAACUGAUGCUGAAAAUGAUUUUCUCCAAUAACUACAGGAAGUGUCAACAGAACUUAACAAUUUAUCUGAACGUUUUUUAAUCGAAAGUAUAAAAGGAAAUGGCAUCUUAGUAUUUAUGUAUUUUCCUACUGAUGCAAUAUUUAAAUGUUUGUUUGCAUGCAACAAAAAGGUAGUUGUUGAUAGAGACUCGAUUAUAAAAAGGCACAAAUAAAGUAUCGUAAAAAACA